CAUAUCUAGGUCCACCACUUCCAAAUAGGGGUCAUAUUGAGGAUUAAAAAUAUUACAUGAACAACAUAGGUUUAUAAAUUGUUAUAACCUGACGAUUAUCUAUGUGGGCCGAUCUUGGAAUUUGAUGUAUUUAUGUAAACUGAAAGAUGCUUGUUGGCUUUAUAUGAUAAAAAUGGUAGGCAAUAACCCCGCUUAAACCUGUGCUUUGGUGAAUUUAUUUUUUGGGGCAAAUGUGGUAAAGAUAGACUAACAAAUCAUUUGUAUGACAGAAAUAAUUUGGCACUCUUGUACAGGGAGGCCACGGGAUGAAGUAUCAUUGACUUUGAAGAAUGUAUCAAUGUUAUCAACGAGACUAAAAGAAUUGCGAUGGUAGGAAUAAAUUGUGCAUCACCACACUAUGUCGUGACAGACAAGAUGAUAGUAGUUUAUCCCAACAGUGGUGAGAUAUGGGAUGGCAAAGCAAAGAGAUGGCUGCUACCUGGAUGUGUACAUGCAACCCUUAAUUGAGGAAUUGAAGCAAUGAUGGGAUGUUGGAGCAACGACUUGAUUUCCCGACACCGGGAUCUAUUUUAUUACUUUUUAGAUUUGUCGAUAUAUAUUUUUGUAGAACUCGACUUCAAUUUUAUUCCUCGAUAUUGGGAUGUAUUUUGUGUAUAUAAAUCUAAUUUAUUUCAUGUUUAAAUUGAAUAUUUUUUUAGUUUAAAA
Molecule: long non-coding RNA, 705 nt
Organism: Beta vulgaris subsp. vulgaris (sugar beet)
Lineage: Eukaryota; Viridiplantae; Streptophyta; Magnoliopsida; Caryophyllales; Amaranthaceae
Exons: 2
Source: RefSeq, a predicted model, not a curated record